UCGAACGGAGCUUAGAGAGCUUGCUUUUUAAGCUUAGUGGCGAACGGGUGAGUAACGCGUGAGUAACCUGCCCUAGAGUGGGGGACAACAGUUGGAAACGACUGCUAAUACCGCAUAAGCCCACGGUGCCGCAUGGUACUGAGGGAAAAGGAUUUAUUCGCUUUAGGAUGGACUCGCGUCCAAUUAGCUAGUUGGUGAGGUAACGGCCCACCAAGGCGACGAUUGGUAGCCGGACUGAGAGGUUGAACGGCCACAUUGGGACUGAGACACGGCCCAGACUCCUACGGGAGGCAGCAGUGGGGGAUAUUGCACAAUGGGGGAAACCCUGAUGCAGCGACGCCGCGUGGAGGAGGAAGGUUUUCGGAUUGUAAACUCCUGUCGUUAGGGACGAUAAUGACGGUACCUAACAAGAAAGCACCGGCUAACUACGUGCCAGCAGCCGCGGUAAAACGUAGGGUGCAAGCGUUGUCCGGAAUUACUGGGUGUAAAGGGAGCGCAGGCGGGAAGACAAGUUGGAAGUGAAAACCAUGGGCUCAACCCAUGAAUUGCUUUCAAAACUGUUUUUCUUGAGUAGUGCAGAGGUAGAUGGAAUUCCCGGUGUAGCGGUGGAAUGCGUAGAUAUCGGGAGGAACACCAGUGGCGAAGGCGGUCUACUGGGCACCAACUGACGCUGAGGCUCGAAAGCAUGGGUAGCAAACAGGAUUAGAUACCCUGGUAGUCCAUGCCGUAAACGAUGAUUA
This 740-nucleotide ribosomal RNA is filed under the name uncultured bacterium. RNAcentral describes it as "bacterial SSU rRNA". It matches the Rfam family "Bacterial small subunit ribosomal RNA", at positions 62 to 815 of the family's 1533-position model. The record is from RNAcentral.